GGCUUUUAAGAUUUUUUCGAGUUCAUCUAGUUUAUGUGGGUAGUCCCUCCGAUCAUUGUUAAUCAACUUCUCUCCAGUUUUUUUCAUAGAAAAUAUGCAGAAUCUCUCUCCAUAUCCCGCUUCAAUGGAUCAGAUUCGACCAGUUCAUCUUUUUCGUUGAAAAUCCAGAAGGUUUUCAUAGCUUUCCGCUUGAACCGCCAUUCCAUCUCGGACCGGCUACGAGUUCCGACCCAACUCAUAUCUUCUUCAGUAAUUUUGGAGUCCUGGUGGAGGAGGGGGUGGAUUUGACUUGGUGGAGAUGUUGCCCGUGUUGAUGGAGUGUGAUGAGUUAAAAACUAAUUGUG
RNAcentral lists this long non-coding RNA (344 nucleotides) under Olea europaea (common olive). Its description in RNAcentral is "long non-coding RNA (OEUR_LNC002461)". Lineage: Eukaryota; Viridiplantae; Streptophyta; Magnoliopsida; Lamiales; Oleaceae. The record is from RNAcentral.